AGAGUUUGAUCCUGGCUCAGAACGAACGCUGGCGGCAGGCUUAACACAUGCAAGUCGAGCGCCCCGCAAGGGGAGCGGCAGACGGGUGAGUAACGCGUGGGAAUCUACCCAUCUCUACGGAAUAACUCAGGGAAACUUGUGCUAAUACCGUAUACGCCCUUCGGGGGAAAGAUUUAUCGGAGAUGGAUGAGCCCGCGUUGGAUUAGCUAGUUGGUGGGGUAGAGGCCUACCAAGGCGACGAUCCAUAGCUGGUCUGAGAGGAUGAUCAGCCACACUGGGACUGAGACACGGCCCAGACUCCUACGGGAGGCAGCAGUGGGGAAUAUUGGACAAUGGGCGCAAGCCUGAUCCAGCCAUGCCGCGUGAGUGAUGAAGGCCCUAGGGUUGUAAAGCUCUUUUGUGCGGGAAGAUAAUG
This 415-nucleotide ribosomal RNA is filed under the name uncultured bacterium. Its description in RNAcentral is "bacterial SSU rRNA". It matches the Rfam family "Bacterial small subunit ribosomal RNA", at positions 8 to 453 of the family's 1533-position model. The record is from RNAcentral.